GUGAAUCAUCGAAUCUUUGAACGCACAUUGCGCCCCUUGGCAUUCCGAGGGGCAUGCCCGUUCGAGCGUCAUUAUAACCCCUCAAGCCUAGCUUGGUGUUGGGGCCUGCUGUUACCGGCAGCCCUUAAAAUCAGUGGCGGUGCUAUCUGGCUCUAAGCGUAGUAAUACUUCUCGCUACAGGGUCCCGGUGGAUGCUUGCCAUCAACCCCAAAUUUUCUAUGGUUGACCUCGGAUCGGGUAGGGAUACCCGCUGAACUUAAGCAUAUCAAUAAGCGGAGGA
Molecule: unclassified non-coding RNA, 280 nt
Filed under: Leohumicola sp.
Lineage: Eukaryota; Fungi; Ascomycota; Leotiomycetes
Description: partial contains 5.8S ribosomal RNA, internal transcribed spacer 2, and large subunit ribosomal RNA
Rfam family: 5.8S ribosomal RNA (bases 1-71)
Source: RNAcentral